RNAcentral lists this ribosomal RNA (405 nucleotides) under uncultured Clostridium sp. RNAcentral's name for it is "bacterial SSU rRNA". It matches the Rfam family "Bacterial small subunit ribosomal RNA", at positions 355 to 777 of the family's 1533-position model. The record is from RNAcentral. Lineage: Bacteria; Bacillati; Bacillota; Clostridia; Eubacteriales; Clostridiaceae.
UGGGGGAUAUUGCACAAUGGAGGAAACUCUGAUGCAGCAAUGCCGCGUGAGGGAAGACGGUCUUCGGAUUGUAAACCUCUGUCCUUGGUGAAGAUAAUGACGGUAGCCAAGGAGGAAGCUCCGGCUAACUACGUGCCAGCAGCCGCGGUAAUACGUAGGGAGCAAGCGUUGUCCGGAUUUACUGGGUGUAAAGGGUGCGUAGGCGGCUUUUUAAGUCGGGCGUGAAAGCUGUGGGCUUAACCCACAAAUUGCGUUCGAAACUGGAAGGCUUGAGUGAAGGAGAGGUAGGCGGAAUUCCCGGUGUAGCGGUGAAAUGCGUAGAGAUCGGGAGGAACACCAGUGGCGAAGGCGGCCUACUGGGCUUUAACUGACGCUGAGGCACGAAAGCAUGGGUAGCAAACAGGA